This is a long non-coding RNA of Calidris pugnax (ruff), 548 nucleotides long. RefSeq lists it as uncharacterized. The record is from RefSeq and is a predicted model, not a curated record. The transcript has 4 exons. NCBI's taxonomy places the organism in Eukaryota, Metazoa, Chordata, Aves, Charadriiformes, Scolopacidae.
CCGGUCUUUAGCCCGGGGCUGACCGGAGGAGGAAGCAAAAAGUUGCCGCUUAGGAGCAGGCUGGGGCGUUCCGGGUCCUGUCGUUUCAGACUGCUGGAAUUAAGGCUACAUUGUUUUCUGUCUACUAUAACCCCAAGGACCCUAUCAGCAGAGUUACUCCUUCCAAUGCCUUUCUUCACAGGGAUCCUGAGCCAAACCAGUCUGUUUAAUUGCUGUUUCUCUGCACACCUAAGGAUAACACUGCAGGAAAGCAGUGGGUGGACAGCUCAGCAUUGACUUACAGUUUUAGUGAAGGUGAUGGCAUGAUGGAUUAAAGCAUUACUGCAUGUGGCACCCUGACAGACAGAAAGAGAGAGAUGAGUGUGAGAAAAGUCCUCAUCUACUUCAUUGUAUUCUGAAAUCUGCCUCAUAUGAAGAGUGGCAAAGCCAAAUUCAUGGAUGAAGAGAAGUUUAAUAAUAAUGUCUGUGCAACUCACACGCUACUAGCCAAGCAAAAUGAAGAUUUAAAAGGCUGACACCAAAGAAGAGAGAAGAGUCAGCAAAAGGCC